Molecule: unclassified non-coding RNA, 314 nt
Filed under: plant metagenome
Description: partial contains internal transcribed spacer 2 and large subunit ribosomal RNA
Rfam family: 5.8S ribosomal RNA (bases 1-105)
Source: RNAcentral
GAAGUGCGAUAAGCAGUGCGAAUUGCAGAAUUCCGCGAAUCAUCAGAUUUUUGAACGCAAGUUGCGCCAAGCAGUUCGCUGUUUGGCAUGCUUGUUUCAGUGUCGUAAAAAUCAUAAAUCUUAAUGUGAUUGAUAUGAAUUUAUUUUCAUAUCUCUCAUGAAAUAUGAAUGUAUAUGUACUAAAUAAUAUACAAUGAAGUAGUCACAUUCGUGUGAUCUCAUUGUUUAUUAUUAGAUUCAUUUAUACAUAGUAAUAAAUAACAUCUAAUAAAAUGGCAUCUGAAAUCAAGCAAGAUUACCCGCUGAACUUAAGC